UUCGCCCUUAGAGUUUGAUCCUGGCUCAGGACGAACGCUGGCGGCGUGCCUAACACAUGCAAGUCGAACGAAGCUCCCGGAAGGGCGACUUCUGUCAAACGGACGGGAUGACUUAGUGGCGGACGGGUGAGUAACGCGUGAGGAACCUGCCUUUCAGUGGGGGACAACAGUUGGAAACGACUGCUAAUACCGCAUGAAGCAGCGAGGGGGCAUCCCUUUGCUGCCAAAGAUUUAUCGCUGAAAGAUGGCCUCGCGUCUGAUUAGAUAGUUGGUGAGGUAACGGCCCACCAAGUCGACGAUCAGUAGCCGGACUGAGAGGUUGAACGGCCACAUUGGGACUGAGAUACGGCCCAGACUCCUACGGGAGGCAGCAGUGGGGAAUAUUGGGCAAUGGGGGAAACCCUGACCCAGCAACGCCGCGUGAAGGAAGAAGGCUUUCGGGUUGUAAACUUCUUUUACCAGGGACGAAGAAAGUGACGGUACCUGGAGAAAAAGCCACGGCUAACUACGUGCCAGCAGCCGCGGUAAUACGUAGGUGGCAAGCGUUGUCCGGAUUUACUGGGUGUAAAGGGCGUGUAGGCGGAGGUGCAAGUUGGGAGUGAAAUCUAUGGGCUUAACCCAUAAACUGCUCUCAAAACUGUGCCCCUUGAGUAUCGGAGAGGCAAGCGGAAUUCCUAGUGUAGCGGUGAAAUGCGUAGAUAUUAGGAGGAACACCAGUGGCGAAGGCGGCUUGCUGGACGACAACUGACGCUGAGGCGCGAAAGUGUGGGGAGCAAACAGGAUUAGAUACCCUGGUAGUCCACACCGUAAACGAUGGAUACUAGGUGUAGGGAAUGAUAUAUUUUCUGUGCCGAAAGCAAACGCAAUAAGUAUCCCACCUGGGGAGUACGGCCGCAAGGUUGAAACUCAAAGGAAUUGACGGGGGCCCGCACAAGCAGUGGAGUAUGUGGUUUAAUUCGAAGCAACGCGAAGAACCUUACCAGGGCUUGACAUAUACCGGAAUAAUCAAGAGAUUGAUUAGUCCUUCGGGACUGGUAUACAGGUGGUGCAUGGUUGUCGUCAGCUCGUGUCGUGAGAUGUUGGGUUAAGUCCCGCAACGAGCGCAACCCUUAUCCUUAGUAGCCAGCGGUCCGGCCGGGCACUCUGGGGAGACUGCCAGGGAUAACCUGGAGGAAGGUGGGGAUGACGUCAAAUCAUCAUGCCCCUUAUGAUCUGGGCUACACACGUGCUACAAUGGCGUAAACAAAGAGAAGCGAGCCUGCGAGGGGGAGCAAAUCUCAAAAAUAACGUCUCAGUUCGGAUUGUAGUCUGCAACUCGACUACAUGAAGCUGGAAUCGCUAGUAAUCGCGAAUCAGAAUGUCGCGGUGAAUACGUUCCCGGGUCUUGCACACACCGCCCGUCA
RNAcentral lists this ribosomal RNA (1403 nucleotides) under uncultured bacterium. RNAcentral describes it as "16S ribosomal RNA". It matches the Rfam family "Bacterial small subunit ribosomal RNA". The record is from RNAcentral.